UCCGGUGGCAAUAUCGAAGAGGCCAUACCCGAUCCCAUCUCGAACUCGGAAGUCAAGCUCUUCGGAGCCGAUGGUACUGCAUGGGCAACCGUGUGGGAGAGUAGGACGCUGCCGGGC
This 117-nucleotide ribosomal RNA is filed under the name Pseudomonadota bacterium. The record is from RNAcentral. Lineage: Bacteria; Pseudomonadati; Pseudomonadota.